UGCCUAUCAGUCCCUCCAAGCUAGGCCU
RNAcentral lists this non-coding RNA (28 nucleotides) under Rattus norvegicus (Norway rat). Lineage: Eukaryota; Metazoa; Chordata; Mammalia; Rodentia; Muridae. The record is from RNAcentral.